Molecule: long non-coding RNA, 289 nt
Organism: Drosophila ananassae
Lineage: Eukaryota; Metazoa; Arthropoda; Insecta; Diptera; Drosophilidae
Exons: 4
Source: RefSeq, a predicted model, not a curated record
CGAGAGAAAUACAUUUUUUCUUACGCAUUUUAUGGAUGUUGUUUUCUAAGUUGCAACCAUGCAUUUAAGGAUCUGUUUUCUAAUUUUAUUUAUUUGGAAAAGUUUGGCAAUUUUAGUGCCUCCGCAUUGUGACCUCUUAAUAAUUACCGUUCCCCCUGUUUUUUUUAGAGUGUUAUGAUAUCAAAGAUUGCGAAUGAAGUGUUUAAACCUUCCGCACCGAAAAGAUGAAGCUCAAAAUUAAAUUUAAAUGUUUUGAAAUUUAUUCGAAAUAAAGCACAGUUCUAUUAGC